UACGUAGGGGCGAGCGUUGUCCGGAAUGACUGGGCGUAAAGGGCGCGUAGGCGGCCGAAUAAGUCUGGAGUGAAAGUCCUGCUUUCAAGGUGGGAAUUGCUUUGGAAACUGUUUGGCUUGAGUGCGGAAGAGGCAAGUGGAAUUCCCAGUGUAGCGGUGAAAUGCGUAGAGAUUGGGAGGAACACCAGUGGCGAAGGCGACUUGCUGGGCCUUAACUGACGCUGAGGCGCGAAAGCGUGGGGAGCGAACAGGAUUAGAUACCCUGGUAGUCCCU
This 274-nucleotide ribosomal RNA is filed under the name uncultured prokaryote. RNAcentral's name for it is "partial 16S ribosomal RNA". It matches the Rfam family "Bacterial small subunit ribosomal RNA", at positions 524 to 798 of the family's 1533-position model. The record is from RNAcentral.